AGAUUGAACGCUGGCGGCAGGCCUAACACAUGCAAGUCGAGCGGUAGAGAGGUGCUUGCACCUCUUGAGAGCGGCGGACGGGUGAGUAAUGCCUAGGAAUCUGCCUAGUGGUGGGGGAUAACGUUCGGAAACGGACGCUAAUACCGCAUACGUCCUACGGGAGAAAGCGGGGGACCUUCGGGCCUCGCGCCAUUAGAUGAGCCUAGGUCGGAUUAGCUAGUUGGUGAGGUAAUGGCUCACCAAGGCGACGAUCCGUAACUGGUCUGAGAGGAUGAUCAGUCACACUGGAACUGAGACACGGUCCAGACCGUCCGUACGGGAGGCCAGGCAGGUAGGGGUAAUAGUUGGACAAGUGGGACGAAAGCCGUGACUCCAGCCAGUCGACCGG
RNAcentral lists this ribosomal RNA (388 nucleotides) under uncultured soil bacterium. RNAcentral describes it as "bacterial SSU rRNA". It matches the Rfam family "Bacterial small subunit ribosomal RNA", at positions 26 to 404 of the family's 1533-position model. The record is from RNAcentral.